RNAcentral lists this RNase P RNA (377 nucleotides) under Candidatus Staskawiczbacteria bacterium. RNAcentral's name for it is "RNase P RNA component class A". It matches the Rfam family "Bacterial RNase P class A". From Rfam's summary of the family: Ribonuclease P (RNase P) is a ubiquitous endoribonuclease, found in archaea, bacteria and eukarya as well as chloroplasts and mitochondria. Its best characterised activity is the generation of mature 5'-ends of tRNAs by cleaving the 5'-leader elements of precursor-tRNAs. The record is from RNAcentral. Lineage: Bacteria; Candidatus Staskawicziibacteriota.
UUGGCAAGAUGAGCGAUUGCUCUUAUUGAAAAAUAAGGGAGGAAAGUCCGAACACCCAUUGUUCCGCGAUAGCGGAGCUCUAAAAAGAUAGAGGGUAAUACCCUUCGGCCGCGAGGCAGAGGUGCGAACAGUGACGGUCUUUUGCCGAAAGGCGGAGGCAGCCUGGCACUCAAAAAUAUUGAGUGGCUGGCGAAUCCUGAUAGCAAUAUCGGGAGUGAAACGGCUAAAUCCUUAUUGGGCGCAAGAACAAAGCAGAAGAUUGGGUUAAAUACAUCUCAAAAUUCUGUUAAAAGUAGUUCGCUUGAGCUAAAAAGCAAUUUUUAGCGAAGACAGAUAAUCGCAUAAAACAGAAUUCGGCUUACGGUCUUGCCAAGACA